GAACAGUUUAACUGACAAGCAGUGAGUAACAAAGUAUUAGGAGAGGAGGUCAGAAAGUGAGGGGCAGUGGAUGGGACUUACUGAUUAUUGUUCGGACCUUGGGUUUGUUUUGUUUGCUUUUUCCUGGUGAGGAAGAAAACCUUCAGAGCGUAUUGAACACACAAAUGACAUGAUCUCUCUUACAUCUUAAGAUGAUGGUUGCUACUGAGUUGAGGAAAGACAAACCAGACUCGAGGACCAUUGGAAGUUCAUGCAGAAGAGCCUUUUGGAAUUAGAGAAGUCUUACAAAAACAGCAAACUAAAGCCCAGGGAGAGGGUGUGAUUGCUUCUACAUGCUACAGCCAGUGAACCACAGAACUGACAACAGACACUAGUUCUCUUGCCUCCAGGUCAAGCCAGUGGACCUUCACAAAGAGGGCUUCAGGUAUUUACAAAGGCAGCAGAGACUCUCGGAAUCCCCAAAGCCUUCACGCUCCAAAGUAAAGCACGACAGAUUUCAAGGAGGAGGAGAUAUUUUGGGGCAGAAGAGUUUUCCAGGAUCCAUCAAAUCACUCCCUACAGACAUCUGUCUGAUAGAUAAUAUAUUCUUAAAUGAGCUUUCUUUUGCUAUUUUGUAUCUUAAGAGAAAAGGGCAAAGUUGUGACUUUCUGUGAUAUCAGUUCCAGGAUUAAGACCCACUCUCCAAUUGCCUUUGAAAAGAGAAAAAAAGCAAAACGAAACCUUCUUCUGGCUUACUUUCAGAGCUCCAGAUUGACUGUGCCAAGCAGACAGACCACCCACAACCUGCAAUAAAUAACAACCAUCUCUUCUGAGUCGGUUAUCCACUGUAUCACCCAAAGCAAGUGAUUAAAAAUUGCAAUUUCUUUCACAUAACAAGGCUGCUGUCAAACUGUAGCCCCUCACCAUGGUUUUGCAAGACUAUGUUGAAUGGACAAAGUUCCAUGUGCUGAGUUUGGUACUCCACAACUAGCCUGAGAUUAUCAAAUCAAUGCUGGAAUAGAAGUUUGAAAGAAUAAUUUCCCUACACAUUAUUUUCUUUAUCUACUGACAUUGCCUAAGAGAUUUAAUUCACUCUUCUUAGUCCUUUUUUUUUUUUUUUUAACUUACAAGACCUGUCAUUGAAAGGCUCAUCCAAUUUUUUUGCUCCUCCUAAUAUGGAUUUCUGACAAAACAUGUUGCCAUCCUGGUGUCAUUUCUCAAAUAGUCUACCAAUUAAAAAGCAUCAUCUCAGAAAACUAUGUUCAAAACUCACCUCCUGCAAGACUCCUCUCGUACAUUUUCACUUAGACCCUAUGCUACUACCUUUGUCAAUAAGGUUCCUUACUGGCUGUCUUUAGUUGAUCCUGCUUGCAUGGCAUCUUUCACAUGGAUAUCUAAUGAAGAUAUUGAACAUAGUGUUUCAAAAAGCCACCUACCUUCUCCUGAGUAAGCAGAGUCAUAUGAUUCCACCUAUAUAAAGUUCUUGAACAAGUGAAAGGAGCCUCAAAUGGGGAAAAAAGAGUCAAGGUAGUCAUUUGUGUGGAUAGAAUGAAGAUGAACUGGGAAGGAGUGACGAAACAUUCUAAGGUGAAGGUCAUGUUUAAUGUUUUGUAGGAGUUUAGGUUAAACAGAUGUAUGCAACUGUCAAAACUCAGUGUAAGUAUACUUAAGAUCUGUGCAUUUCAUUGUAUUUAAGGUAAAAAAGGAAGAAAAAAGCAAUCAAUUGCCUUCUA
This is a non-coding RNA of Macaca mulatta (Rhesus monkey), 1712 nucleotides long. NCBI's taxonomy places the organism in Eukaryota, Metazoa, Chordata, Mammalia, Primates, Cercopithecidae. The record is from RefSeq and is a predicted model, not a curated record.